Long non-coding RNA from Oryzias melastigma (Indian medaka), 688 nucleotides. RefSeq lists it as uncharacterized. The record is from RefSeq and is a predicted model, not a curated record. NCBI's taxonomy places the organism in Eukaryota, Metazoa, Chordata, Actinopteri, Beloniformes, Adrianichthyidae. The transcript is spliced from 2 exons.
AUUAGAUGCAACUCAACUAUUAAAACUUUCUAUAUUUUGAAGAAAUUCAACUUUUUUCUGAAUUUCUCCUGUUGGGCUCCCGGCUGCGUGAGCAGGUGGGCGUGUCCGUCGGCCUGCGUGCGGCGGUACCUCAGCCCUGCAGCGGCGCCGCCGGGGCGCCCGAGCAGUGGAAGUGGACGUUCUGCCACCGGCUGUCCCUGCGGUGCCACACCCUCGUCUCCUCCGAUUGGCUGGAGCGCGGGCGGCCCUGGCUGUCCACGAACUGCGUCAGGCGGAUGUAGGCGAUGCAGGCGGCGUCCUCCCCGAUCAUGUGCACGUGGGGGUUGAGGAUGGUGGUGUGGAUGGGUUUGCUGUUCUUGGAAAGGACUGACAGAGAAACAGCCCGUCAGCUCAACGCCGUCCCACGGCGAGACAGAACCAACAAGGUUAAUGUCACUGGAGACGACACGCAGGCGUGAUCCAUAAAGAGAGACGCCAUAUUGGAAUGGUAUAAAAACAACGAGACGGUUUGGCAGAACCAGGAAAACGACCAUAAAAUGAUUCAUUUUGGUCUGAUUUUAAAAAAAGGAAAAAACUCUGAUGAUGAAGUAAUAAUUCUUAGGUCAUGGUGAUAAUGUUUUGGUAUAAAAUGGAACAAUAAACGAUAUUUCAAACUUUUUCAAAGAUAAAUAGAUUAUUAUAUAUGAAA